This 321-nucleotide long non-coding RNA is filed under the name Bos taurus (domestic cattle). RNAcentral's name for it is "long non-coding RNA NONBTAT007245". Lineage: Eukaryota; Metazoa; Chordata; Mammalia; Artiodactyla; Bovidae. The record is from RNAcentral.
AGAGUUUCCAUUAUUUUAUUUUGAUUACCUUAUACAAUGUCUAAGAUUUACAUUCUUUAGCAGUGCUGGUAGGAAUUUAGACAAAGCACAGAGGAAACAGAGGCUCACUUUUCUCAUCUGUUAAAAAAAAUAAGAGCAGGCCCACUGCGACAUAGUAGGGUAAUGACAAUGUAAACUGUUACACAAGUGUUAGUUUUUGUUAAGAUGUACUGAUACCAAAAAUUGUUGCAUACAUUUUGGGUCUUGCUGAUGUCCAAUUAUAUUUAAUAGGAGACGGUUGCUCACCUCCUGUUGGACGCUCUCCCGUGGCUUUCCUUGCCC